RNAcentral lists this ribosomal RNA (257 nucleotides) under uncultured bacterium. RNAcentral describes it as "partial 16S ribosomal RNA". It matches the Rfam family "Bacterial small subunit ribosomal RNA", at positions 524 to 776 of the family's 1533-position model. The record is from RNAcentral.
UACGGAGGGUGCGAGCGUUGUCCGGAAUCAUUGGGCGUAAAGGGCGCGUAGGUGGCCCGGUCAGUCUUUGGUGAAAGCGCGGGGCUCAACCCUGCGUCGGCCAGGGAUACUGCCGCGGCUCGAGCACUGGUAGAGGCAGGCGGAAUUCCGGGUGUAGCGGUGGAAUGCGUAGAGAUCCGGAAGAACACCGGUGGCGAAGGCGGCCUGCUGGGCAGUUUAGCUGACACUGAGGCGCGACAGCGUGGGGAGCAAACAGG